Molecule: small nucleolar RNA, 151 nt
Filed under: Canis lupus dingo (dingo)
Lineage: Eukaryota; Metazoa; Chordata; Mammalia; Carnivora; Canidae
Source: RNAcentral
GCUGCACGUUGUUGGAGCUUGGUGUUAAGACCACUGGCUGCCAGUGAGUUUGCAGGUAUAGGUAGCGUGCUGCACGAGGGGCUAGUCUCUCACUAACGCUGCAAGGGGCUCUGGCUCAAUAAGCGGAGAGUGAUGGUGAAUAAAAACAAGU